UUGGUUUGGGAAGUUCAACACUGUAAUUUUAUCACUCUAUGUUUUAUCGACAGUACACAUCAAAUUCAGUAUUUCAUGAGAAGACCAAACACAUUGAGAUUGACUGACAUUAUGCAUCAAAUCCAGUAUUUCAUGAGGAGACUUAGCACAUAGAGAUUGACUGUCAAUUUUGUGAAGUCGAGCGAUCAACUUGCACAUAUCUCAUCAAGCCCUGUAUCGGUCCUCGUAUUAAUUACAUUUGUAACAAGCUAGAUACAUAUGAUUUGUAUGCACUAUCUUGAGGGGGGUAUUAGAAUAGUAAUAGGUAUAUACAAUCCUACUUAGAAUAAGAAUAUGAAUAGUAAUAGUAAUAGUAUAUAGUGUCCUAUUUGGAAAAUCUGUAUCGGUCCUCGUAUUAAUUACAUUUGUAACAAGCUAGAUACAUAUGAUUUGUAUGCACUAUCUUGAGGGGGGUAUUAGAAUAGUAAUAGGUAUAUACAAUCCUACUUAGAAUAAGAAUAUGAAUAGUAAUAGUAAUAGUAUAUAGUGUCCUAUUUGGAAAAUGAGUCUAUU
RNAcentral lists this long non-coding RNA (552 nucleotides) under Solanum tuberosum (potato). Its description in RNAcentral is "long non-coding RNA (STUB_LNC003781)". Lineage: Eukaryota; Viridiplantae; Streptophyta; Magnoliopsida; Solanales; Solanaceae. The record is from RNAcentral.